Small nucleolar RNA from Pan troglodytes (chimpanzee), 102 nucleotides. It matches the Rfam family "Small nucleolar RNA U13". Lineage: Eukaryota; Metazoa; Chordata; Mammalia; Primates; Hominidae. The record is from Rfam.
GUCCUUUUGUGGGUCAUCAGCAUGAUGCUGGGGCGUUCACACUCGUGUGAGACAUGCCUCUCUCCAACCUUGUUAAGAUGUCAGCACAUGACCCAUCUCACA